This 484-nucleotide ribosomal RNA is filed under the name uncultured bacterium. RNAcentral describes it as "partial 16S ribosomal RNA". It matches the Rfam family "Bacterial small subunit ribosomal RNA", at positions 29 to 507 of the family's 1533-position model. The record is from RNAcentral.
AUUGAACGCUGGCGGCAUGCUUUACACAUGCAAGUCAAACGGCAGCGCGGGCUUCGGCCUGGCGGCGAGUGGCGAACGGGUGUGUAAUACAUCGGAACGUGCCCAGUAGCGGGGGAUAGCUCGGCGAAAGCCGGAUUAAUACCGCAUACGACCUGAGGGUGAAAGCGGGGGAUCUUCGGACCUCGCGCUAUUGGAGCGGCCGAUGGCGGUUUAGCUAGUUGGUGGGGUAAAGGCCUACCAAGGCGACGAGCUGUAGCUGGUCUGAGAGGAGGAGCAGCCACACUAGGACUGAGACACGGCCCAGACUCCUACGGGAGGCAGCAGUGGGGAAUUGUAGACAAUGGGCGAAAGCCUGAUCCAGCAAUGCCGCGUGUGUGAUGAAGGCCUUCGGGUUGUAAAGCACUUUUGGCGGGAACGAAAAGGACUGUGCCAAUACCACGGUUCGAUGACGGUACCCGCAGAAUAAGCACCGGCUAACUACGUG